GCGUGCUUAACACAUGCAAGUCGAACGGAAAGGCCCUGCUUUUGUGGGGUGCUCGAGUGGCGAACGGGUGAGUAACACGUGAGUAACCUGCCCUUGACUUUGGGAUAACUUCAGGAAACUGGGGCUAAUACCGGAUAGGAGCUCCUGCUGCAUGGUGGGGGUUGGAAAGUUUCGGCGGUUGGGGAUGGACUCGCGGCUUAUCAGCUUGUUGGUGGGGUAGUGGCUUACCAAGGCUUUGACGGGUAGCCGGCCUGAGAGGGUGACCGGCCACAUUGGGACUGAGAUACGGCCCAGACUCCUACGGGAGGCAGCAGUGGGGAAUAUUGCACAAUGGGCGGAAGCCUGAUGCAGCAACGCCGCGUGCGGGAUGACGGCCUUCGGGUUGUAAACCGCUUUCGCCUGUGACGAAGCGUGAGUGACGGUAAUGGGUAAAGAAGCACCGGCUAACUACGUGCCAGCAGCCGCGGUGAUACGUAGGGUGCGAGCGUUGUCCGGAUUUAUUGGGCGUAAAGGGCUCGUAGGUGGUUGAUCGCGUCGGAAGUGUAAUCUUGGGGCUUAACCCUGAGCGUGCUUUCGAUACGGGUUGACUUGAGGAAGGUAGGGGAGAAUGGAAUUCCUGGUGGAGCGGUGGAAUGCGCAGAUAUCAGGAGGAACACCAGUGGCGAAGGCGGUUCUCUGGGCCUUUCCUGACGCUGAGGAGCGAAAGCGUGGGGAGCGAACAGGCUUAGAUACCCUGGUAGUCCACGCUGUAAACGGUGGGUACUAGGUGUGGGGUCCAUUCCACGGGUUCCGUGCCGUAGCUAACGCUUUAAGUACCCCGCCUGGGGAGUACGGCCGCAAGGCUAAAACUCAAAGGAAUUGACGGGGCCCCGCACAAGCGGCGGAGCAUGCGGAUUAAUUCGAUGCAACGCGUAGAACCUUACCUGGGUUUGACAUGGAUCGGGAGUGCUCAGAGAUGGGUGUGCCUCUUUUGGGGUCGGUUCACAGGUGGUGCAUGGCUGUCGUCAGCUCGUGUCGUGAGAUGUUGGGUUAAGUCCCGCAACGAGCGCAACCCUUGUUCACUGUUGCCAGCACGUUAUGGUGGGGACUCAGUGGAGACCGCCGGGGUCAACUCGGAGGAAGGUGGGGAUGACGUCAAGUCAUCAUGCCCCUUAUGUCCAGGGCUUCACGCAUGCUACAAUGGCUGGUACAGAGAGUGGCGAGCCUGUGAGGGUGAGCGAAUCUCGGAAAGCCGGUCUCAGUUCGGAUUGGGGUCUGCAACUCGACCUCAUGAAGUCGGAGUCGCUAGUAAUCGCAGAUCAGCAACGCUGCGGUGAAUACGUUCCCGGGGCUUGUACACACCGCCCGUCAAGUCAUGAAAGUUGGUAACACCCGAAGCCGGUGGCCUAACCGUUGUGGGGGAGCCGUCGAAGGUGGGACUGGUGAUUAGG
Molecule: ribosomal RNA, 1430 nt
Filed under: uncultured organism
Description: 16S ribosomal RNA
Rfam family: Bacterial small subunit ribosomal RNA
Source: RNAcentral